GUGUUAAUUAUGAAAGUGUAUCCGGUGUGUUCAGACGUUUUGUACGAGGUGGUGAAAUAUAAAAUGUAAAAUUGAAUCUGUGUGAAUCUAUUAAAUAUCAAUCCCAAACCUAUGUUUAAUAAUAACAAUUCCAAUAAUGAUAUGACUAUGUGAUUAAUUUCCCAAGGACGAUACUGAGAUAUACAUUCAUUACUAAUUUUUAAGGGUUAGGUAUGAUAGACGUGAAAUAUCUGUACGCAUUAGAAUCGACCCAGCCUCGACCAUAGGAUUCAUUAUGGCUUCAAAUCAAACAGAAACCAUGAAUACAAACAAUGCGUGUUGAGAUACGUAUAAUUUUCUGUGCUGGACUGGGUUAAAUGAAUAGCAGAGAUACUUGUAUGUGCAAAUUCUGUGUUCCUGUAACAUUAUUUCGGCUUCGAAGAUCCACAAUUCUCCACAAUGGGAUCGAAAUUUAAAGCAAAUAAUAAUUUACGGCUUAUGCUUAACUGGCAUUAAUCGUGUUAGACAAAACAUGAUCGCUGAAUGUGAAGCACAACGCUUUUAACUGUAUCAGGGCUUUUUUGUUAAAUUAACCAGAGAACCUGUGAAAUUGCGAUAAGGGAAAUAUAAUAAAGCUGCUCGAUAUCACUUGGUCGCCCCAAGGAUUAAAGGUUUACAGACGAGCGCGUGUCUGCUAGACGAUGCAAUUUAUCUGCAGUGUGUCGAGACGCUUGGCGAAGCGUAAUAUUGCCGAUGCCGAUGAGUUAUUAAAGGGCCAAACUUCAGAGAUUCGCGUAUGUGCUACAUAUGGUAGUACCGAAUAGUACAGAGGGUGGUCAGCUACGAAUUGGCUAUAACUCAAAGUAGCUCGUUAAAUUGCGAGGAUUAACCGGGCAGAGAGGUAAAUUGGAUCCAGAACAAAUCACGAUGUUAUAUCAUGCUGUGCGAACUAGGUGUGGUUAUAAGAGUAAAAAAAAAGGCUGGCUACGGAAACGAUCAACACAACAAGCAUAGAAAGAAGACUGAAAAGGAGACACCCAGCAGAUCUCACAAAGGAUAUAACCUAACAAACACGAAGAUGGUACCCCGCUGAGGGUAGCCCCCACAAGAUAAUCAAAUAGCUAAAAAAUUUCACCAAAUGUCCAAAUUGGACAAAUUAUGAAUGUAAAUUAUUAAGUAAAAAAAGAGUAAAAUAAAUUUAAUUUGCAAUUUUGCAUAUUAA
Molecule: long non-coding RNA, 1201 nt
Organism: Bombus pyrosoma
Lineage: Eukaryota; Metazoa; Arthropoda; Insecta; Hymenoptera; Apidae
Exons: 4
Source: RefSeq, a predicted model, not a curated record